RNAcentral lists this ribosomal RNA (292 nucleotides) under uncultured bacterium. RNAcentral describes it as "partial 16S ribosomal RNA". It matches the Rfam family "Bacterial small subunit ribosomal RNA", at positions 775 to 1067 of the family's 1533-position model. The record is from RNAcentral.
GGAUUAGAUACCCUGGUAGUCCACGCCGUAAACGAUGUCUACUAGCCGUUGGGGAUUUAUUUCUUUAGUGGCGCAGCUAACGCGAUAAGUAGACCGCCUGGGGAGUACGGCCGCAAGGUUAAAACUCAAAUGAAUUGACGGGGGCCCGCACAAGCGGUGGAGCAUGUGGUUUAAUUCGAAGCAACGCGAAGAACCUUACCAACUCUUGACAUCCAGAGAACUUUGUAGAGAUACAUUGGUGCCUUCGGGAACUCUGAGACAGGUGCUGCAUGGCUGUCGUCAGCUCGUGUUG